UCAAGCGACUAAGUGUAUGUGGUGGAUGCCUUGGCGAUUACAGGCGAUGAAGGACGUCGCAGCCUGCGAAAAGCCGUGGGGAGCUGGCAAGCGAGCACUGAUCCACGGAUGUCCGAAUGAGGGAACUCACCCGCAAGGGUAUCUUGAAGUGAAUACAUAGCUUCAAGAGGCGAACGCAGCGAACUGAAACAUCUAAGUAGCUGCAGGAAAAGAAAUCAACCGAGAUUCUGAAAGUAGCGGCGAGCGAAAUUGGAAGAGCCUGCAAGUGAUAUUGAAUUCGAUACUGGAACGGUCUGGAAAGUCCGGCUACAGAGGGUGAUAGCCCCGUACGGGAAAUUGGGUUCAAGGUACUGAGCUUGCGAGAAGUAGAGCGGGACACGUGAAAUCCUGCUCGAAGAUGGGGGGACCAUCCUCCAAGGCUAAAUACUCGUAAUCGACCGAUAGCGAACCAGUACUGUGAAGGAAAGGCGAAAAGAACCCCGGGAGGGGAGUGAAAUAGAUCCUGAAACCGCAUACAUACAAACAGUAGGAGCCCGCAAGGGUGACUGCGUACCUUUUGCAUAAUGGGUCAGCGACUUACGUUCAAUGGCAAGCUUAACCGAGUAGGGGAGGCGCAGCGAAAGCGAGUCCGAACAGGGCGACAUGAGUCGUUGGGCGUAGACCCGAAACCAGAUGAUCUAUCCAUGGCCAGGCUGAAGGUGUGGUAACACACACUGGAGGGCCGAACCGACUAGUGUUGCAAAAUUAGCGGAUGAGCUGUGGAUAGGGGUGAAAGGCUAAACAAAUCUGGAGAUAGCUGGUUCUCCCCGAAAACUAUUGAGGUAGUGCCUCGUGUAUGGCUCCAGGGGGUAGAGCACUGUUAUGGCUAGGGGGACAUGGCGUCUUACCAAACCAUGGCAAACUCCGAAUACUUGGAAGUCUGAGCACGGGAGACAGAGCACCGGGUGCUAACGUCCGGACUCAAAAGGGAAACAACCCAGACCGCCGGCUAAGGUCCCUAAUAUUGACUAAGUGGAAAACGAAGUGGGAAGGCUAAGACAGUCAGGAAGUUGGCUUAGAAGCAGCCAUCCUUCAAAGAAAGCGUAAUAGCUCACUGAUCGAGUCUUCCUGCGCGGAAGAUGUAACGGGGCUAAGUCAAUAACCGAAGCCGCGGAUUCGCAGCAAUGCGAGUGGUAGGGGAGCGUUCUGUAAGCCUGCGAAGGCGGAUCUGCGAGGACCGCUGGAGGUAUCAGAAGUGCGAAUGCUGACAUGAGUAACGUUAAAGCGGGUGAAAAGCCCGCUCGCCGCAAGCCCAAGGUUUCCUGCUCUACGUUCAUCGGAGCAGGGUGAGUCGGCCCCUAAGGUCAGGCUGAGAAGCGUAGCUGAUGGGAAGCUGGUUAAUAUUCCAGCACCGAUUUCAAGUGCGAAGGGGGGACGGAGUCCUGAAGGUCAUCCGGGUGUUGGAUAUCCCGGUUUACGAGCGUAGGAGGUUGACAGGCAAAUCCGUCAACGGAUCUCCAAGGCGAAGGAUCGAGGUUGAGAGAUCAACUGAAGUGACUGAAUGGGCUUCCAGGAAAAGCCUCUAAGCAUCAGCUUGGAAUUGACCGUACCGCAAACCGACACUGGUGGGCGAGCUGAAUAUGCUCAGGCGCUUGAGAGAACUCAGGAGAAGGAACUCGGCAAAUUGACACCGUAACUUCGGGAUAAGGUGUGCCUUUGUAGUGUGAAGAGAGAAACACUCCGAGCAUGAAGAGGCCUCAGAGAAUCGGUGGCUGCAACUGUUUACUAAAAACACAGCACUCUGCAAAGAUGAAAGUCGACGUAUAGGGUGUGAUGCCUGCCCGGUGCUGGAAGAUUAAUUGAUGGGGUGCAAGCUCCUGAUCGAAGUCCCAGUAAACGGCGGCCGUAACUAUAACGGUCCUAAGGUAGCGAAAUUCCUUGUC
This 1922-nucleotide ribosomal RNA is filed under the name human gut metagenome. Its description in RNAcentral is "bacterial LSU rRNA". It matches the Rfam family "Bacterial large subunit ribosomal RNA", at positions 3 to 1973 of the family's 2925-position model. The record is from RNAcentral.